AUCCUACGGGAGGCAGCAGUGGGGGAUAUUGCACAAUGGGGGGAACCCUGAUGCAGCGACGCCGCGUGGGUGAAGAAGCGCCUCGGCGCGUAAAGCCCUGUCAGCAGGGAAGAAAAUGACGGUACCUGAAGAAGAAGCCCCGGCUAACUACGUGCCAGCAGCCGCGGUAAUACGUAGGGGGCAAGCGUUAUCCGGAUUUAUUGGGUUUAAAGGGUGCGCAGGCGGGAGAUCAAGGCAGCGGUAAAAUGUCGGGGCACAACCC
RNAcentral lists this ribosomal RNA (262 nucleotides) under uncultured bacterium. RNAcentral describes it as "partial 16S ribosomal RNA". It matches the Rfam family "Bacterial small subunit ribosomal RNA", at positions 335 to 615 of the family's 1533-position model. The record is from RNAcentral.